AGUGUACAUGUAACACCAGUGGAGAGAGAAUGAAGGAAAUAACACUGUAUGUCAUUAUUGUACUACACAUCUGGUCCUACGGUGUUAAAGCUCAAGAAUCUGGAAAAGGCUGUCAAAGACCUAAACUGGACAAUGGCUUUGUUGACCCGGAGCAGGAAAUGUACCAGGAUGGCACGACUUUGACUUAUGCCUGUGAUAGAGGUCUGAAGACACCAAUGGAAGGCUGGUGGGGGAUGAUUACAUGUGAGAAUGGUAGAUGGUCUGAUAGUCCUCUGUGUACGGCCAGUCGUUCUUGUGAUGCACCUCCUCAAGUGAACCAUGCAACCAUUGUUCAACAAUAUCAAAACAAGUUUAGUGAUGGAACAAAAGUGG
This is a long non-coding RNA of Salvelinus fontinalis (brook trout), 372 nucleotides long. RefSeq lists it as uncharacterized. The record is from RefSeq and is a predicted model, not a curated record. The transcript has 3 exons. Lineage: Eukaryota; Metazoa; Chordata; Actinopteri; Salmoniformes; Salmonidae.